UGUCGUCUUCAACUUGAAUCUCCUCUCGGAGACAGCCAAACCAAAUUUUCAGCCCGCAAUUCCCUUUGUACUCCGUCCUACGGAGCUUAAAAUAUUUUCGUUAUUGUGAAAUCAUUAAAGUUAAGCAAAAUAUUUUCAUAAGAAGCAAUUUUUCCGCUUUCAUUGAUUUUAAACCUAUACAACUGAGCUUAAACACCGACUGCCUAAGUCCCCAGGCAAACUGUCUGAAUGCCUAAUUUGUACGUUGUCAAACAAAGUCUGUUAAUACACUUCCAAUUGUUUGAUUUUUUGCACUUUUGUUUACACUUCUAAAUAAUUCAAAGAAAAUCUACACAUUUAAAAAUAUUUUCGCACAUUUGAAUGGUCAGCAGCUAUUCAUUUUUCUUGUUCAUAUGUUUCUGACAUUUUUUUAAUACUCCUCUUUUCUAUACACUUAUUAGUUAGUACUAAAUUUUAAAAAUAUUUUAUUUUAAUUUUCCUUAUUUCUAACCCUAAGCCUACUACAUGACGUCUCUUUUACUUAAAAUAGACGUCCCUCUAUUUGCUUUUUGUGUCAAAAAUAUGUAACAUUUGAUACAGUUUUAAAAAUACCUGGGGCUCUGCUUCACUAAUCUGCCAAAAAAUUGCACAUGUUUAAAAGAAAAUAUCAAAAUACAAAAUUUUGAAAAAAAAUGACAAAUAAUGCAUUUUAUAGAAGCCUUAAAAAGCCUCAAAUUCAAGAAAAAUAGAAAAUGUGCAAAGAUCAGUUUAUAAUUUAAGCACUUGCAAGUUAGAAAAGUUAAAAAAACUCUGACAGCCUCAGAUCAAAGGUUUUUGAGUUAUGUCCAAAAAAAAUUUUGGGGGUUGGGGGGAGGCACCAGUUGGAAUAGGGUUAAAGAUUAGAUCUAAAACAUUUCCCAUGGAAUCUAAAAUUCGUAUAAUUCAAUCUAAUUCAAUCUAAUUCAAUCUAGAAAUCUUAAAUAAUAUUUUCUGCAGGCAGUUGACAACACUUUAUCCAACAUUUUCAAUCAAAUUGACUCUGCCUUAGAUAAGAAAAAACUUGACAAAACUGUUGUUGAAAUUAAACCUGCAAUAGAAGACUUACCAAACCUUAAGACAGCUGAAACUUUCACAGAUCAAAUCUCAAAUGUGAAGAAUGAAAAGGAAAACCAACACUGGUCUAAAAUAAAGUCUGCCAGG
Eurytemora carolleeae is the source of this 1179-nucleotide long non-coding RNA. RefSeq lists it as uncharacterized. The record is from RefSeq and is a predicted model, not a curated record. Lineage: Eukaryota; Metazoa; Arthropoda; Copepoda; Calanoida; Temoridae. The transcript has 2 exons.